RNAcentral lists this long non-coding RNA (1078 nucleotides) under Olea europaea subsp. europaea. The record is from RNAcentral. Lineage: Eukaryota; Viridiplantae; Streptophyta; Magnoliopsida; Lamiales; Oleaceae.
CUUAGGGCUGCCUUUGCUUUAGGGAAUCUUCUGGGUCUGUUCUCCCUCUCUCCAAAUUCCUUAAUCCCUGUCUUUGUUGUUUGAUAGGUACCCUUGGGUGAGCAAAAGCAAUGACUCAAAUCAGCAAGAAAACUAAAGCUACCAAGAAGCAUUUUCCACCAGAAAUCUUCUUUGAAAUUGUUUCAAGGCUGCCCCUAAAAUCCGUGGGGCGUUUUACCACUGUCAGCAAAUCAUGGUAUUCUUUUAUUAAAUCAUCUGCCUUUAUUGCCGCCCAUCUCAACAAAUCUAUUGCUAGCAAAAUUGAUAAUGAUAGCUUGCAUUAUCUUCUCUAUGUACCACCCUUGGUUGAAGAUUAUAAAUUAUGCACGGUAGUUUCUGACAACCUGAUGAACUUUGAUGUGGUUUAUAAUGUGGAGUUGCCUGUGGAUUUUGAAUCGAAGAGAUGUAGACCGAUUGGUUCGUGCAACGGUCUAGUUUGCUUAGCUGAUGAUGAUGAAGAAGAUUUUCAUGGUCGUGUCAUUUGAUGGUGGGCUGCCUCUUUAUUCUUGGCUGGCCCAAACUUAGUAAUAUUGGGCCUUGCCGGGUUGGUUGAUCCAACGGUUUGAAAUUGGUUGGAAAUGAAAAGCGUUUUUCUGGAAAUGCGUUUUUUUUAAUAAUGGGCAAUUGUUGUGGACAUUACACUUGGCACCUUUGUAAUCGUUGGAUCUUUAAUAUUUUGCUAGACUAUUAAAAGUCUCGUGACUCUUCACUUUUGCCCUAAUUUGAGUGAACGGUUCUAGGGUUUUCUUCGUCUUCUCUCUGAGGGUUUUUUGGACUCUUCUGUUCUUGCAUCUUUCUGAAAGCAAUCUCUAAUCUGAGUGAUGUUAGGGUUGUAUUUGGUAUAUGAUCUGUGAGAUUGUAGAAAACUGAGUGUUGUAUUAUAGAGAGGCGAAAGAAAACUGAAAUUGAAGGAACUGCGGUUUCUUCAUAUAUUCUUGUAUCGAUUCUUUGUGAUUCUUAGUGGAUUCGAGCCUAAUCUAUUUUUGUAGAUGCUCAACGGAUGAGUAAGCCUUUUGGCUGAACUUCCGGGCCCUUAGGG